Molecule: ribosomal RNA, 466 nt
Filed under: uncultured bacterium
Lineage: Bacteria
Description: partial 16S ribosomal RNA
Rfam family: Bacterial small subunit ribosomal RNA
Source: RNAcentral
GCCAGACUCCUACGGGAGGCAGCAGUGAGGAAUAUUGGUCAAUGGGCGCGAGCCUGAACCAGCCAAGUCGCGUGAGGGAUGACGGUCCUACGGAUUGUAAACCUCUUUUGCCGGGGAGCAAGCGUGCGUUCGUGAACGCGCGUCGAGAGUACCCGGAGAAAAAGCAUCGGCUAACUCCGUGCCAGCAGCCGCGGUAAUACGGAGGAUGCGAGCGUUAUCCGGAUUUAUUGGGUUUAAAGGGUGCGUAGGCGGGAUGCCAAGUCAGCGGUAAAAAUGCGGUGCUCAACGCCGUCGAGCCGUUGAAACUGGCGUUCUUGAGUGGGCGAGAAGUAUGCGGAAUGCGUGGUGUAGCGGUGAAAUGCAUAGAUAUCACGCAGAACUCCGAUUGCGAAGGCAGCUUGCUAGGCCGGAUCUGACACUGAUGCACGAAAGCGUGGGGAUCGAACAGGAUUAGAUACCCGGGUAC